RNAcentral lists this ribosomal RNA (253 nucleotides) under uncultured bacterium. Its description in RNAcentral is "partial 16S ribosomal RNA". It matches the Rfam family "Bacterial small subunit ribosomal RNA", at positions 524 to 776 of the family's 1533-position model. The record is from RNAcentral.
UACGAAGGUGGCAAGCGUUACUCGGAAUUACUAGGCGUAAAGGGCAGGUAGGUGGUUUGGUAAGUCUAUUGUGAAAGCUCCCGGCUUAACUGGGAGAGGUCAAUGGAUACUGCCGAACUUGAGUAUAGGAGAGGUUACUGGAAUUCCCGGUGUAGCGGUGAAAUGCGCAGAGAUCGGGAGGAACACCAAUGGCGAAAGCAGGUAACUGGACUAUUACUGACACUCAGCUGCGAAAGCUAGGGGAGCAAACAGG